This 432-nucleotide ribosomal RNA is filed under the name Natrinema altunense. Its description in RNAcentral is "bacterial SSU rRNA". It matches the Rfam family "Archaeal small subunit ribosomal RNA", at positions 106 to 537 of the family's 1478-position model. The record is from RNAcentral. Lineage: Archaea; Methanobacteriati; Methanobacteriota; Halobacteria; Halobacteriales; Natrialbaceae.
AAACUACCCUAUGGAUCCGAAUAACCUCGGGAAACUGAGGCUAAUAUGGAAUAGCGUUCAUCGCCUGGAGUGGCACGAACGCGAAACGUUACGGCGCCAUAGGAUGUGGCUGCGGCCGAUUAGGUAGACGGUGGGGUAACGGCCCACCGUGCCCAUAAUCGGUACGGGUUGUGAGAGCAAGAGCCCGGAGACGGUAUCUGAGACAAGAUACCGGGCCCUACGGGGCGCAGCAGGCGCGAAACCUUUACACUGCACGCGAGUGCGAUAAGGGGACUCCGAGUGCGAGGGCAUAUAGUCCUCGCUUUUCACGACCGUAAGGUGGUCGUAGAAUAAGUGCUGGGCAAGACCGGUGCCAGCCGCCGCGGUAAUACCGGCAGCACGAGUGAUGACCGCUAUUAUUGGGCCUAAAGCGUCCGUAGCUGGCCACGCAAG